Molecule: ribosomal RNA, 578 nt
Filed under: uncultured bacterium
Lineage: Bacteria
Description: partial 16S ribosomal RNA
Rfam family: Bacterial small subunit ribosomal RNA
Source: RNAcentral
UGGGGAAUUUUGGACAAUGGGCGAAAGCCUGAUCCAGCAAUGCCGCGUGUGUGAAGAAGGCCUUCGGGUUGUAAAGCACUUUUGUCCGGAAAGAAAUCCUUGGCUCUAAUACAGUCGGGGGAUGACGGUACCGGAAGAAUAAGCACCGGCUAACUACGUGCCAGCAGCCGCGGUAAUACGUAGGGUGCAAGCGUUAAUCGGAAUUACUGGGCGUAAAGCGUGCGCAGGCGGUUUGCUAAGACCGAUGUGAAAUCCCCGGGCUCAACCUGGGAACUGCAUUGGUGACUGGCAGGCUAGAGUAUGGCAGAGGGGGGUAGAAUUCCACGUGUAGCAGUGAAAUGCGUAGAGAUGUGGAGGAAUACCGAUGGCGAAGGCAGCCCCCUGGGCCAAUACUGACGCUCAUGCACGAAAGCGUGGGGAGCAAAACAGGAUUAGAUACCCUGGUAGUCCACGCCCUAAACGAUGUCAACUAGUUGUUGGGGAUUCAUUUCCUAGUAACGUAGCUAACGCGUGAAGUUGACCGCCUGGGGAGUACGGUCGCAAGAUUAAAACUCAAAGGAAUUGACGGGGUCAUAGCU